Molecule: long non-coding RNA, 827 nt
Filed under: Pan troglodytes (chimpanzee)
Lineage: Eukaryota; Metazoa; Chordata; Mammalia; Primates; Hominidae
Description: long non-coding RNA NONPTRT003642
Source: RNAcentral
GAAGCCAGCUGCCCUCCCAGCCCCCUGUAGGGGGCCCUGUGGAGCAAAGCUUUCGCGGGUAACGGGCAAAGCGGGGCAGUAGUGUCAAGUCAGGUCUUGGCAGCACAGCGAGGUUGGCGACUUCUCCUUGGCUGCCAACUCAGCCAAAGGCUCAUCCUGCACUGUUGGGCCUGUUGCUGGGAUGCACCUUUGGAAUGUGUGAGCCAAGAAUGGGCGCGCAUGCUCAUGGAACCCGCAAGGAAGACGCACCGGGGAGGAAAGGGAGGGGGCAGAGAUCACCCUAGGAGUGUGCACAGGGGGCAGCUGCCGGUGGAGGGUGUUUGGCUGCUAGGAAAAAUGGCUGCCAGGGUCCUGUAAAGCAAAGCUUGCUUGGAGAAUGGGCGAAGAUGUAGGUGUAAGUGAUUUGCUCAAGAUUAUGCAACCUCCCUGGGCAUAGCCCCCACUUCCUUGGGAAUUUCCUAGCAUGUCCUGGAACGGGCCUCCAUCAUUCCCCAUUUCCUGCUGCAUGAGGAGACAUUGCCCCCCUACAAAAACUAGAUAGUGUAAUAUCUGCCCCUGGUGUGUCCGGAAUUGGUCCCUUCUGGUGGGUUCUUGGUCUGCUGACUUCAAGAAUGAAGCCACGGACCCUCAUGGUGAGUGUUACAGUUCUUAAAGAUGGUGUGUCUGGAGUUUGUUCCUUCAGAUGUUCAGAUGUAUCCGGAGUUUCUUCCUUCCAGUGGGUUCGUGGUCUCGCUGAGUUCAGGAGUGAAGUCGCAGACCUUCGCAGUGAGUGUUAUAGCUCUUAAAGGUGGGGCAUCCAGAGUUGUUUGUUUCUCCCGGUGGGUUCA